AUUGAACGCUGGCGGCAGGCUUAACACAUGCAAGUCGAGCGAGCGGCGGACGGGUGAGACAUGUCUGGGAUACUGCCUGAUGGUGGGGGUUAACUACUGGAAACGGUAGCUAAUCCCGCAUACCAUCAGAUGUGCCCAGAUGGGAUUAGCUAGGAUGUGGGGUAAUGGCUCACCUAGGCGACGAUCCCUAGCUGGUCUGAGAGGAUGACCGGCCACACGGGAACGGAGACACGGUCCAGACGCCUACGAGAGGCAGCAGUGGGGAAUAUUGCACAGUGGGCGCGAGCCUGAUGCAACGAUGCGACGUGUGUGAAGGAGGCGUUCGGGUUGUGAAGCAGUUUCAGCGAGGAGGCGUUACUCGCAGAAGAAGCACCGGCUAACUCCGUGCCAGCCGCCGCGGUAAUUC
RNAcentral lists this ribosomal RNA (406 nucleotides) under uncultured bacterium. Its description in RNAcentral is "partial 16S ribosomal RNA". It matches the Rfam family "Bacterial small subunit ribosomal RNA", at positions 30 to 526 of the family's 1533-position model. The record is from RNAcentral.